Molecule: ribosomal RNA, 1398 nt
Filed under: Campylobacter jejuni
Lineage: Bacteria; Pseudomonadati; Campylobacterota; Epsilonproteobacteria; Campylobacterales; Campylobacteraceae
Description: partial 23S ribosomal RNA
Rfam family: Bacterial large subunit ribosomal RNA
Source: RNAcentral
AAAAAAGGUAAGCUACUAAGAGCGAAUGGUGGAUGCCUUGACUGGUAAAGGCGAUGAAGGACGUACUAGACUGCGAUAAGCUACGGGGAGCUGUCAAGAAGCUUUGAUCCGUAGAUUUCCGAAUGGGGCAACCCAAUGUAUAGAGAUAUACAUUACCUAUAUAGGAGCGAACGAGGGGAAUUGAAACAUCUUAGUACCCUCAGGAAAAGAAAUCAAUAGAGAUUGCGUCAGUAGCGGCGAGCGAAAGCGCAAGAGGGCAAACCCAGUGCUUGCACUGGGGGUUGUAGGACUGCAAUGUGCAAGAGGUAAGUUUAGCAGAACAUUCUGGAAAGUAUAACCAUAGAGGGUGAUAGUCCCGUAUGCGAAAAACAAACCUUAGCUAGCAGUAUCCUGAGUAGGGCGGGACACGAGGAAUCCUGUCUGAAUCCGGGUCGACCACGAUCCAACCCUAAAUACUAAUACCAGAUCGAUAGUGCACAAGUACCGUGAGGGAAAGGUGAAAAGAACUGAGGUGAUCAGAGUGAAAUAGAACCUGAAACCAUUUGCUUACAAUCAUUCAGAGCCCUAUGUAGCAAUACAGGGUGAUGGACUGCCUUUUGCAUAAUGAGCCUGCGAGUUGUGGUGUCUGGCAAGGUUAAGCAAACGCGAAGCCGUAGCGAAAGCGAGUCUGAAUAGGGCGCUUAGUCAGAUGCUGCAGACCCGAAACGAAGUGAUCUAUCCAUGAGCAAGUUGAAGCUAGUGUAAGAACUAGUGGAGGACUGAACCCAUAGGCGUUGAAAAGCCCCGGGAUGACUUGUGGAUAGGGGUGAAAGGCCAAUCAAACUUCGUGAUAGCUGGUUCUCUCCGAAAUAUAUUUAGGUAUAGCGUUGUGUCGUAAUAUAAGGGGGUAGAGCACUGAAUGGGCUAGGGCAUACACCAAUGUACCAAACCCUAUCAAACUCCGAAUACCUUAUAUGUAAUCACAGCAGUCAGGCGGCGAGUGAUAAAAUCCGUCGUCAAGAGGGAAACAACCCAGACUACCAGCUAAGGUCCCUAAAUCUUACUUAAGUGGAAAACGAUGUGAAGUUACUUAAACAACCAGGAGGUUGGCUUAGAAGCAGCCAUCCUUUAAAGAAAGCGUAAUAGCUCACUGGUCUAGUGAUUUUGCGCGGAAAAUAUAACGGGGCUAAAGUAAGUACCGAAGCUGUAGACUUGCACACAACUUAGAUUAUUUAAGUUUAGAAUAUGAGAAACUAAGUUAUAUGUUUAGUUAUAUUUUUACUGAUUUUUAUAGAGUAAAGAUAGAAAUAAAACUUAGUAAAAUCAGUAAAAAUAUUCUUAGACUAAAGUUAAGUAGUUUAAGUUGUGUGCAAGUGGUAGGAGAGCGUUCUAUUUGCGUCGAAGGUAUACCGGUAAGGA